This 200-nucleotide ribosomal RNA is filed under the name uncultured bacterium. Its description in RNAcentral is "partial 16S ribosomal RNA". It matches the Rfam family "Bacterial small subunit ribosomal RNA", at positions 524 to 723 of the family's 1533-position model. The record is from RNAcentral.
UACGAAGGGGGCUAGCGUUGCUCGGAAUCACUGGGCGUAAAGCGCACGUAGGCGGAUCUUUAAGUCAGGGGUGAAAUCCCGAGGCUCAACCUCGGAACUGCCCUUGAUACUGGGGAUCUCGAGUCCGGAAGAGGUUGGUGGAACUCCGAGUGUAGAGGUGAAAUUCGUAGAUAUUCGGAAGAACACCAGUGGCGAAGGCG